AAUCUGCCAAUGGUUUUUUCACAUUUAUUUAAAAAAUGUGAAAUCUAGGGGCAGAUUAU
Molecule: non-coding RNA, 59 nt
Filed under: Blattella germanica (German cockroach)
Lineage: Eukaryota; Metazoa; Arthropoda; Insecta; Blattodea; Blattellidae
Source: RNAcentral